RNAcentral lists this ribosomal RNA (492 nucleotides) under uncultured bacterium. Its description in RNAcentral is "partial 16S ribosomal RNA". It matches the Rfam family "Bacterial small subunit ribosomal RNA", at positions 29 to 507 of the family's 1533-position model. The record is from RNAcentral.
AGUGAACGCUGGCGGUAGGCCUAACACAUGCAAGUCGAACGGCAGCACAGUAAGAGCUUGCUCUUACGGGUGGCGAGUGGCGGACGGGUGAGGAAUACAUCGGAAUCUACUUUUUCGUGGGGGAUAACGUAGGGAAACUUACGCUAAUACCGCAUACGACCUACGGGUGAAAGCAGGGGAUCUUCGGACCUUGCGCGAUUGAAUGAGCCGAUGUCGGAUUAGCUAGUUGGCGGGGUAAAGGCCCACCAAGGCGACGAUCCGUAGCUGGUCUGAGAGGAUGAUCAGCCACACUGGAACUGAGACACGGUCCAGACUCCUACGGGAGGCAGCAGUGGGGAAUAUUGGACAAUGGGCGCAAGCCUGAUCCAGCCAUGCCGCGUGGGUGAAGAAGGCCUUCGGGUUGUAAAACCCUUUUGUUGGGAAAGAAAAGCAGCAGGUUAAUACCCCGCUGUUCUGACGGUACCCAAAGAAUAAGCACCGGCUAACUUCGUG